CCGCUGAACUUAAGCAUAUCAAUAAGCGGAGGAAAAGAAACCAACAGGGAUUGCNUCAGUAACGGCGAGUGAAGCGGCAACAGCUCAAAUUUGAANUCUGGCUCUUUCAGGGCCCGAGUUGUAAUUUGUAGAGGAUGCUUCGGCGUUGGCUCCGGUCUAAGUUCCUUGGAACAGGACGUCACAGAGGGUGAGAAUCCCGUAUGUGAUCGGUUGCCUUUGCCAUGUGAAGCUCCUUCGACGAGUCGAGUUGUUUGGGAAUGCAGCUCUAAAUGGGAGGUAAAUUUCUUCUAAAGCUAAAUACCGGCCAGAGACCGAUAGCGCACAAGUAGAGUGAUCGAAAGAUGAAAAGCACUUUGGAAAGAGAGUCAAAAAGUACGUGAAAUUGUUGAAAGGGAAGCGCUUGCAACCAGACCUGCCUGCAGUUGUUCAUCCGGGCUUUUGCCCGGUGCACUCUUCUGCUGUCAGGCCAGCAUCAGUUCGGGCGGUCGGAUAAAGGCUUUGGGAAUGUAGCUCCUCUCGGGGAGUGUUAUAGCCCGUUGCGAAAUGCGGCCAGCCUGGACUGAGGUCCGCGCUUCGGCUAGGAUGCUGGCGUAAUGGUUGUAAGCGGCC
This 609-nucleotide ribosomal RNA is filed under the name uncultured fungus. RNAcentral's name for it is "eukaryotic LSU rRNA". It matches the Rfam family "Eukaryotic large subunit ribosomal RNA", at positions 25 to 649 of the family's 3401-position model. Lineage: Eukaryota; Fungi. The record is from RNAcentral.